This is a long non-coding RNA of Dermacentor albipictus, 738 nucleotides long. RefSeq lists it as uncharacterized. The record is from RefSeq and is a predicted model, not a curated record. NCBI's taxonomy places the organism in Eukaryota, Metazoa, Arthropoda, Arachnida, Ixodida, Ixodidae.
UUCAAUAUCACCAGCAAGGAGUAAUAGGGACCGUACAUUAUGACAACAUUCGGCACAAAUAGCGGUCAAACACUUCGGGCUCGGCAGCUGUAUCAGGAAAUAAUUACUGGAUUUUUUAGUAAAUAGACUGACCGGUUCACCAACCUGCAUGAUGAAGAGAGCCAGAUUCGAUAACCGUGCCGUGGCACAGCUGCCGAGCCCACAGAUUGCGUGAGGUGAUUGCUGGUCCUAUAUAGGUGGCUUGGCAAGUGAUGUUGCUGCUGAUGGUGUUUCCCAGUUGAAGUCGAGGGUCCAGUUUUGCACGUGCGGUAAAAGGGCAGAGUCGGCGAUGGCGCUGAUGAAGCGGUGGCUGGCUUCGACGGCGCUCCCAGAAAACUCGGCUGGGGACCAGGAGGUGUCCAGGAGGGUCCGGGAGGCGUCGAAGAACACGGUUAUGCGGAUUCCGGAGCCAAGCCUACGACCUGUAGGAACCUGCUGCACCGCUACAUACUGGAUCGCACAAAGAUGCACUUGACCUGCAUGCUUUUACAAGGUGCCCUGUGAGCUCUCAUCGAAGCACCGCAUUCCAGAGGUCUGCUGUGAGCAGACGUGGCAAAUUGAAGUGGCAUACAGAUAUUCCAAUAUACUACUCCUAACUUCAGAUGGAACCUUUACAAAGUACAGAGAAAACUUUCUUUUAAAAGUACAAACACCAAUACAGCCUGAUCUUUCCAUCCAAACAUUAUAUUUUAUAUUAGU